CGGGACGGGUGAGUAAUGUCUGGGAAACUGCCUGAUGGAGGGGGAUAACUACUGGAAACGGUAGCUAAUACCGCAUAACGUCGCAAGACCAAAGAAGGGGGACCUUAGGGCCUCUUGCCAUCGGAUGUGCCCAGAUGGGAUUAGCUAGUAGGUGGGGUAACGGCUCACCUAGGCGACGAUCCCUAGCUGGUCUGAGAGGAUGACCAGCCACACUGGAACUGAGACACGGUCCAG
RNAcentral lists this ribosomal RNA (234 nucleotides) under uncultured bacterium. RNAcentral's name for it is "partial 16S ribosomal RNA". It matches the Rfam family "Bacterial small subunit ribosomal RNA", at positions 100 to 334 of the family's 1533-position model. The record is from RNAcentral.